RNAcentral lists this ribosomal RNA (497 nucleotides) under uncultured bacterium. RNAcentral's name for it is "partial 16S ribosomal RNA". It matches the Rfam family "Bacterial small subunit ribosomal RNA", at positions 28 to 507 of the family's 1533-position model. The record is from RNAcentral.
GAUGAACGCUGGCGGCGUGCCUAAUACAUGCAAGUCGAGCGAACGGACGAGAAGCUUGCUUCUCUGAUGUUAGCGGCGGACGGGUGAGUAACACGUGGAUAACCUACCUAUAAGACUGGGAUAACUUCGGGAAACCGGAGCUAAUACCGGAUGAUAUUUUGAACCUCAUGGUUCAAAAGUGAAAGACGGUCUUGCUGUCACUUAUAGAUGGAUCCGCGCUGCAUUAGCUAGUUGGUAAGGUAACGGCUUACCAAGGCAACGAUGCAUAGCCGACCUGAGAGGGUGAUCGGCCACACUGGAACUGAGACACGGUCCAGACUCCUACGGGAGGCAGCAGUAGGGAAUCUUCCGCAAUGGGCGAAAGCCUGACGGAGCAACGCCGCGUGAGUGAUGAAGGUCUUCGGAUCGUAAAACUCUGUUAUUAGGGAAGAACAUAUGUGUAAGUAACUGUGCACAUCUUGACGGUACCUAAUCAGAAAGCCACGGCUAACUACGUG